This 196-nucleotide unclassified non-coding RNA is filed under the name uncultured Sebacina. Its description in RNAcentral is "sequence contains ITS2". The record is from RNAcentral. Lineage: Eukaryota; Fungi; Basidiomycota; Agaricomycetes; Sebacinales; Sebacinaceae.
UACUCUCACACUUCCGAUCUUUGGAUUGGGAGCGGUGGACUUGGGUGUUGCUGCUUUACUGUGGCUCGCCUCAAAUGGAGUAGUGCAACUCUUGGUUGGACAUAGUACGGCGUGAUAAGUGUCUUCGCCGGCACCUCACUAGAGGGUGGCCGAUCGGGAUGUUGUGCUCCAAACCGUCUUCGGACAAUCUCUGACA